RNAcentral lists this long non-coding RNA (896 nucleotides) under Homo sapiens (human). RNAcentral describes it as "HSALNT0365573". Lineage: Eukaryota; Metazoa; Chordata; Mammalia; Primates; Hominidae. The record is from RNAcentral.
GGAGUCGCUGGGUAAUGCGCCAUGUGAGGCGCGGUGGGACUGUCGUUCCUGGACCAACGCCGAGACUUCCUAAAUCCCUCCGGAAAGGGAUGCGUUGGGCCUGUGAUCUGGCGACUAGGAGGGUCAGGAGUCCCAGUAGAGGGAAUCACGGGAAAAGAAUGAAAGAGGGAGGCGAGCCUGGCACGGCUUCCUGGAGAAACAAACUAAGCUAACAAAUUUUUCGGAUCCUUUGUGCAGCUAAUUUUACAGUACUGUUUCAUACAUCUUAUUAUAUUUGGACAUCACGGCCUGUUGAGUGGUCUCCCUCUCUGCUGCAAGCUCUGCUGUAAUCCAGAGACACUCAAUUAUCUCUGUAGGAUAAUUUAUUCAUUCGAUUAACAUACAUUACUACUAACUUUUUAUAAACCAGUACUGUUCCAAGCACCGGAGAUACAUAGCUAUGAACGAAACAAAUAUCCCUGCUCAGGGAAUUCACAAUAGAGUGAGGGGAAAUAAGCGAAUAAACAAUGAAUCUCUUGUUCUGAGGGAAGCCAUGUACAUCAUUAGCAGUUCUAUAAAGAGGAUCACAUGGCAAGAAACUGAAACAUUCUGCCAGCUGCCCUGUGAAAGAACUUGGAAGUAGACCCUCCAGCCCUAAUCAAGUCUUCAGAGACUGUACUCAGCCAACAAUUGACUGCAACCUCAUAAGAGACCCUGAGCCAGACCGCCCAACGAGAAACUACUAUGGAAAUUAUGUUAGACAAAAAACAAAUGCAAGCAGUUUUCUUAUUCGAGUUCAAAAUGGGCUGCAAAGCAGCAGAGACAACUUGCAACAUCAAGAGUGCAUUUGGCCCAGGAACUGCUAAUGAACGUACAGUGCAGUGGUGGUUCAAGAAGUUUUGCAAAGGAUGGCCAGG